AUGCUUGAGACCAGGCCGGUGCUCCAGGGCGCCGUGGUGGAGCUGUACAGGUCACUGCCGGACAAGAGCACCAUGGUCGUCGCCGACCUAGGCUGCUCGUCAGGGCCGAACACGCUGCUGCUUGUGUCGGAGGUCAUCGGUACAAUCUCCGACCACAACCGGGAAGAAGAGCAGGAGCAGCGCCCUCCUGCCGCAGCCAUGGAGUUGCAGUUCUUCCUCAACGACCUGCCGGGGAACGACUUCAACCUCGUGUUCAGGUCGCUGGAUCGGCUGCAGGAGCUCACCGCCGAUAGGAGGCCGCAAUACUACGUGGCCGGGAUGCCGGGUUCUUUCUACACCAGGCUGUUCGCAUGCCGGAGUGUCCACCUCUUCCAUUCCUCCUACUCCCUCAUGUGGAGGUCCAAGGUGCGUGCGUACAAACCAGUUCGAGGCAUUGUUUGA
This 441-nucleotide ribosomal RNA is filed under the name Triticum aestivum (bread wheat). Its description in RNAcentral is "partial small subunit ribosomal RNA". The record is from RNAcentral. Lineage: Eukaryota; Viridiplantae; Streptophyta; Magnoliopsida; Poales; Poaceae.